Molecule: unclassified non-coding RNA, 401 nt
Filed under: Hevea brasiliensis (rubber tree)
Lineage: Eukaryota; Viridiplantae; Streptophyta; Magnoliopsida; Malpighiales; Euphorbiaceae
Source: RNAcentral
AAGAAACACUGAUAUGCAGUCAAGAAAAACACCCCGACAAAGCAAAACACAUAAUGCUGCUCAAACCUUCAUUACUUGGUCCAAAAUGCUAAUGUGGAACGCUAACAGCAGCACCACCUUCGGCUUCCUCCUUGGCCUUGCGUGCAGCAGCUCUUAUUUGGCGUUGCUCUUCUUUAUAGAUCCUGUUCCUCCUUUGGAACUCUUUGGAGUGGUGGAGGCACUCGAGGUAGUCCUCGCGGAGGAGGAAGCAGUCCUUGGGCUCCCGGCAGCGCGACAUGCACUCGCUGAAGUCCGUCCAGAAGUCGUAGCACCGCCCCUUGUUGCCCGUGAUUCCCCAUCCCGACGCCAUUAGCGCACACUCGCUCGCCCUAGCCCGGUUAUAUGAGAGAGAUGGACCCUUG